This 77-nucleotide transfer RNA is filed under the name Dasyatis tortonesei (Tortonese's stingray). RNAcentral's name for it is "tRNA-Lys". It matches the Rfam family "tRNA". Rfam says of the family: Transfer RNA (tRNA) molecules are approximately 80 nucleotides in length. Their secondary structure includes four short double-helical elements and three loops (D, anti-codon, and T loops). Further hydrogen bonds mediate the characteristic L-shaped molecular structure. tRNAs have two regions of fundamental functional importance: the anti-codon, which is responsible for specific mRNA codon recognition, and the 3' end, to which the tRNAs corresponding amino acid is attached (by aminoacyl-tRNA synthetases). tRNAs cope with the degeneracy of the genetic code in two manners: having more than one tRNA (with a specific anti-codon) for a particular amino acid; and 'wobble' base-pairing, i.e. permitting non-standard base-pairing at the 3rd anti-codon position. The record is from RNAcentral. Lineage: Eukaryota; Metazoa; Chordata; Chondrichthyes; Myliobatiformes; Dasyatidae.
CAUUAAGAAGCUAAAAUGGGCCUAGCAUUAGCCUUUUAAGCUAAAAAUUGGUGAUUCCCAACCACCCUUAAUGAUAA